GCUCUGGUAAUGCAGUGGUUAAGCAUUUGGCUGCUAACCAAAAGGUUGGUGGUUUGAAUCCACCAGCU
RNAcentral lists this transfer RNA (68 nucleotides) under Loxodonta africana (African savanna elephant). It matches the Rfam family "tRNA". From Rfam's summary of the family: Transfer RNA (tRNA) molecules are approximately 80 nucleotides in length. Their secondary structure includes four short double-helical elements and three loops (D, anti-codon, and T loops). The record is from Rfam by way of RNAcentral. Lineage: Eukaryota; Metazoa; Chordata; Mammalia; Proboscidea; Elephantidae.